CGCUGCGGGAGGCCUACACAUGCAAGCCGAGCGGUAUUUGGUAGCUUGCUAUCAGAGAGAGCGGCGUACGGGUGCGGAACACGUGUGCAACCUGCCCUUAUCAAGGGGAUAGCCCGGAGAAAUUCGGAUUAAUACCCUAUAAUACAAGUUGUGGCAUCACGAUUUGUUAAAAACUACGGUGGAUAAGGAUGGGCACGCGCAAGAUUAGCUAGUUGGUGAGGUAACGGCUCACCAAGGCGACGAUCUUUAGGGGGCCUGAGAGGGUGAUCCCCCACACUGGGACUGAGACACGGCCCAGACUCCUACGGGAGGCAGCAGUGAGGAAUAUUGGACAAUGGGUGGAAGCCUGAUCCAGCCAUCCCGCGUGAAGGACGACUGCCCUAUGGGUUGUAAACUUCUUUUAUAUGGGGAUAAACCUACCCUCGUGAGGGUAGCUGAAGGUACCAUAUGAAUAAGCACCGGCUAACUCCGUGCCAGCAGCCGCGGUAAU
This 490-nucleotide ribosomal RNA is filed under the name uncultured bacterium. Its description in RNAcentral is "bacterial SSU rRNA". It matches the Rfam family "Bacterial small subunit ribosomal RNA", at positions 39 to 524 of the family's 1533-position model. The record is from RNAcentral.